Molecule: transfer RNA, 74 nt
Filed under: Clostridium sp. AM42-36
Lineage: Bacteria; Bacillati; Bacillota; Clostridia; Eubacteriales; Clostridiaceae
Description: tRNA-Met
Rfam family: tRNA
About the family: Transfer RNA (tRNA) molecules are approximately 80 nucleotides in length. Their secondary structure includes four short double-helical elements and three loops (D, anti-codon, and T loops). Further hydrogen bonds mediate the characteristic L-shaped molecular structure. tRNAs have two regions of fundamental functional importance: the anti-codon, which is responsible for specific mRNA codon recognition, and the 3' end, to which the tRNAs corresponding amino acid is attached (by aminoacyl-tRNA synthetases). tRNAs cope with the degeneracy of the genetic code in two manners: having more than one tRNA (with a specific anti-codon) for a particular amino acid; and 'wobble' base-pairing, i.e. permitting non-standard base-pairing at the 3rd anti-codon position.
Source: RNAcentral
GCACCGUUAGCUCAGUUGGUUAGAGCAUCCGGCUCAUAACCGGACGGUCGUAGGUUCGAGUCCUACACGGUGCA